This 21-nucleotide microRNA is filed under the name Gossypium raimondii (Peruvian cotton). RNAcentral describes it as "gra-miR8701". The record is from miRBase by way of RNAcentral. Lineage: Eukaryota; Viridiplantae; Streptophyta; Magnoliopsida; Malvales; Malvaceae.
AGGGGCUUAGAAAGAUGGGAC